Ciona intestinalis (vase tunicate) is the source of this 272-nucleotide non-coding RNA. Lineage: Eukaryota; Metazoa; Chordata; Ascidiacea; Phlebobranchia; Cionidae. The record is from RefSeq and is a predicted model, not a curated record.
UUUGAACAGAUGAAAAGGGUAUACGCAAUAAUUCUUUGUUUGUUAAUUUUUUCCAAUUUGGUUAUAGGCGAUGGUGCGGCAAUCGUGGGAGCUGGAGGGGGGUAUGAUAAUGAUAGAAUAUUUUCGGAUGUUGGAAUACAAGCUUUGAUCAACCACCUAAAUGACAUCAGGGCAUCGGAUGGCAGAGGUUCGCCAUUAAAUCAAGAAGCCUGAAAAUGAAGACCUCUAUUUGAAAUAUUCACAUCAAGAAUAAAAUAGAGUUAAAAACAAUA